Molecule: long non-coding RNA, 1309 nt
Organism: Amphiprion ocellaris (clown anemonefish)
Lineage: Eukaryota; Metazoa; Chordata; Actinopteri; Pomacentridae
Exons: 3
Source: RefSeq, a predicted model, not a curated record
UGUAUCUAUGGUCGGCACGUCUGGUAGCAUCUCUGGCUGCUGUUGACCUUGUUUUUGGAGUAAAACACGGUGGAAGCUGAAUUAGUGAGGAUGACUCCUGCUCCUGUCAUCUCUAAGCUCCUCACACAUCUUUACCUGCACAUGAGGAAAAUCACUCCUGUAGAAUGCAGAUGUUCAGAGGGAGAUGAUGCCACAUCUGGUCCAGCUGAUGGAAGGUCUUGAAGUUCUCUGACUGGCCUCGACUGAAGAUGGUCGUCUCACUGGAUUUAAGGUUCAGAUGCUCAGUAACAAACUCCACCAAUGAGCCAACAGGGAAGCUUUAGGUUUAUUAAAUGUUGCUAUGAAGGUUUCGCUGUUUUUCUUUGUGAAUGCAAUGUGCUCCAACUGAAACUUGAAUUAGAACUUAGAAGUAAAUCCUUCCAUCUGAAAGGAUUUAGUUGCAUUAAUAACCUCAUAACAUUCUAAUUUUUAUUCCAGUCUUGGUUGAAAAUAGAAUCUCUGUAUUGAUUCAGGUAAAAACUGAACUUCACAGCAUGUUGGAGCAAAACAACCAGAUGAAAACUGUGAUGGUGUUGGAUUGUCAGACCGUAAUGUUGCAGCUCAAAGCAGCUUUUCUAGCUCAGUUCAUUCUGACAUUCAGCUAUGAAUCAACACAGCAGAUGGUGAUCCAUGCUGUGGAAGUCUCACAUCUCCUGAUUUAAUGGAGCUGCUUUGCACUUUUUACACUGUUUAUUCACCAACACUUUAUUUAAUAAAAGUCCCAUCUAGUUUUUAUGAGGAAUGUGAUGUUUUAAUUUCUCUGUGAAUAACUGCAGUCUAAUGCAACAGCUGGAGUUGUAACAUCUGUCCUGAUAUUGAUCAUGAAGUAUUGAUCAGAAUACUUAUGGUCAGCAGUCAUCCCUGAAGUUUUACAUUAAAAUCUUUACUUGUGUUGUGAACUUUGGCAAGAAGCAGAAACGUUAGCGUUGCCAUGGAUACAUGAGUGUUAAAUUCUGUCCAUGUUUCCAUUUUGGGAAAUUCAGUCCAGUUCCAGAAUGUGGAGGAAUUUAGUCUCAAUCACAGACAACAAAUAUUAUCUGAAAGUCGGGUUAUUGUUGUUUAUCAGCACAAUACAAAAAGAUUAAUGUCAGAAAUAUUCCAGUUAAGACUCUAGAAUAUCGUGAUUUAUGUAAAUUUACCUCAAUAAUAUGAAUGUUCAGGUCAAGAUUGUACAGUGAUAUUUAUUAUGUAAGUUUAGCUGAUUAAAGUUUAUGACUCUGCACUAAAAUAUUAUUUAAAUUGACAUCAUUAUUAUAAUAUUUAGGGUCAG